This 456-nucleotide unclassified non-coding RNA is filed under the name Hevea brasiliensis (rubber tree). The record is from RNAcentral. Lineage: Eukaryota; Viridiplantae; Streptophyta; Magnoliopsida; Malpighiales; Euphorbiaceae.
GGAUUAGUACAUUCAUACAUAGGCCCAUACAAAUCCAACUACAUAUCACAAAAUAACACAACCCGUACUAAACUUUAAAUUAAAAAUACGAACAAUUAAACAGCGUAAAUCCAAGAGAGUGACUUCAAGGGCACUUGUUGGUGCGGUUCUGGUGGGUGGUCCAGCCAGUAUAGCAGGUCCCACACGUCUCCCUGUUCCCUGCAGUGCCGGCCGGAACGCACUUGCACACCAUACAGCACGUCGUGCAGGCCCUGUUGCACACAUUCUGUCGCGAGUGCUUGCUGCACCGUGCUAAACAAACACCAGGGCACUCCUUUGUUGCAUUGAUAACCAUAUGUGGAGCUGGAGCCAAGGGAGCAGGAGCGGGUGCGACGCCUAUCAGAGAAACCUCUUCCAUUGGUGCCUCAUUGAGGGACAAAACCCUUGCAGUGACUAGGAGGAGAGAGGCGACCACGA